This is a long non-coding RNA of Penaeus monodon (black tiger shrimp), 417 nucleotides long. RefSeq lists it as uncharacterized. The record is from RefSeq and is a predicted model, not a curated record. The transcript is spliced from 5 exons. Lineage: Eukaryota; Metazoa; Arthropoda; Malacostraca; Decapoda; Penaeidae.
UUUCGCUUUGUCAGGUGCUGGUCGCUAGUAGUCCAGGAUGCUACUUAUUGAGAGGCUAUUAAGGUUUUUCGGAUCAACGGGUGGCAUGUCUUGGCCGGAUAUUGAGGUGUUUUUCGGAUCAACGGAUGGCAUGUCUUGGGAGGCCGUUAAGACGUUUUGCUGGAAUGGUGGCUGGUAUAUUGAGAUCGGAUCCUGAGGUGCUCCAUGUGGAUAAAAGCUUCUACGUUGUAUUACCAGCCAUGAGUUUAGGACUAUGGAAAUACGAUAUAUUCCUCCUGUCCACUACUGCAAAGUGUAUGUGAUCAGGUAAAGUUUGCAUGAUUAAUGAGAAUAAUUAUGGUAUCACAGAAAAGGCAGGUAAUAUCUUAAGGACUUUUUUGGAUACAGUAUAUUCACAAGAAAUAAAAGGAUUCAGUA